This 742-nucleotide ribosomal RNA is filed under the name Starmerella meliponinorum. RNAcentral's name for it is "eukaryotic LSU rRNA". The stretch from base 252 to 742 matches the Rfam family "Eukaryotic large subunit ribosomal RNA", at positions 1 to 508 of the family's 3401-position model. Lineage: Eukaryota; Fungi; Ascomycota; Dipodascomycetes; Dipodascales; Trichomonascaceae. The record is from RNAcentral.
CAACAACGGAUCUCUUGGUUCUCACAUCGAUGAAGAACGCAGCAAAGCGCGAUAGGUAAUGCGAAUUGCAGACGUGAGUCAUUGAAUCUUUGAACGCACAUUGCGCUACUAGGUUCUCCUAGUAGCAUGCUUGUUGGAGCGCCGAACUUUCUCUCUAACUCUUCUUCUGAAGAGUCGUGAGGUAUUGCUUCUGCUAGAAGUCAAAGAAAUGGAACAGCACACGUUAAUAACUCUGUGCAGUAAUAUUUUUAUGGCCCCCAAUCAAGCAAGAUUACCCGCUGAACUUAAGCAUAUCAAUAAGCGGAGGAAAAGAAACCAACAGGGAUUGCCUUAGUAACGGCGAGUGAACAGGCAAGAGCUCAGAUUUGAAAGCCUUUUUGGCAUUGUAUUCUGAAGUAUUUAUCCUGAGUAAUGAUGUCUAAGUCUUCUGGAAAGGAGCGCCAUGGAGGGUGAUAGCCCCGUGUGACAUCCCACUCAUUGUAGGAUUUAUACGUGGAGUCGAGUUGUUUGGGAAUGCAGCUCAAACGGGUGGUAUGCUCCAUCUAAAGCUAAAUAUCUGUGAGAGACCGAUAGCGAACAAGUACUGUGAAGGAAAGAUGAAAAGAACUUUGAAAAGAGAGUGAAAAAGUACGUGAAAUUGUUGAAAUGGAAGGGUAGGCCGCUAACCAUGUAGAACCGUGUUUGGGGGGAAGAUAAAAGCUGAAGAAUGUGGCUCCUCGGAGUGUUAUAGCUUCAGUCAAUA